GACGAACGCUGGCGGCGUGCUUAACACAUGCAAGUCGAACGGAAAGGCCCCUUUUGGGGUACUCGAGUGGCGAACGGGUGAGUAACACGUGAGUAACCUGCCCUUGACUUCGGGAUAACUUCAGGAAACUGGGGCUAAUACCGGAUAGGAAUCCUUGCUGCAUGGUGGGGGUUGGAAAGCUUCGGCGGUUUUGGAUGGACUCGCGGCUUAUCAGCUUGUUGGUGGGGUAGUGGCUUACCAAGGCUUUGACGGGUAGCCGGCCUGAGAGGGCGACCGGCCACAUUGGGACUGAGAUACGGCCCAGACUCCUACGGGAGGCAGCAGUGGGGAAGAUUGCACAAGGGGCGGAAGCCUGAUGCAGCAACGCCGCGUGCGGGAUGACGGCCUUCGGGUUGUAAACCGCUUUCAGCAGGGGCGAAGCUUGUGGUGACGGUACCUGCAGAAGAAGCACCGGCUAACUACGUG
RNAcentral lists this ribosomal RNA (465 nucleotides) under uncultured bacterium. RNAcentral's name for it is "partial 16S ribosomal RNA". It matches the Rfam family "Bacterial small subunit ribosomal RNA", at positions 28 to 507 of the family's 1533-position model. The record is from RNAcentral.